This 1335-nucleotide ribosomal RNA is filed under the name Janthinobacterium sp. 265. Its description in RNAcentral is "bacterial SSU rRNA". It matches the Rfam family "Bacterial small subunit ribosomal RNA", at positions 115 to 1454 of the family's 1533-position model. The record is from RNAcentral. Lineage: Bacteria; Pseudomonadati; Pseudomonadota; Betaproteobacteria; Burkholderiales; Oxalobacteraceae.
AUAUCGGAACGUACCCUGGAGUGGGGGAUAACGUAGCGAAAGUUACGCUAAUACCGCAUACGAUCUAAGGAUGAAAGUGGGGGAUCGCAAGACCUCAUGCUCCUGGAGCGGCCGAUAUCUGAUUAGCUAGUUGGUAGGGUAAAAGCCUACCAAGGCAUCGAUCAGUAGCUGGUCUGAGAGGACGACCAGCCACACUGGAACUGAGACACGGUCCAGACUCCUACGGGAGGCAGCAGUGGGGAAUUUUGGACAAUGGGCGCAAGCCUGAUCCAGCAAUGCCGCGUGAGUGAAGAAGGCCUUCGGGUUGUAAAGCUCUUUUGUCAGGAAGAAACGUGAGAGCUAAUAUCUCUUGCUAAUGACGGUACCUGAAGAAUAAGCACCGGCUAACUACGUGCCAGCAGCCGCGGUAAUACGUAGGGUGCAAGCGUUAAUCGGAAUUACUGGGCGUAAAGCGUGCGCAGGCGGUUUUGUAAGUUUGUCGUGAAAUCCCCGGGCUCAACCUGGGAAUGGCGAUGAAGACUGCAAGGCUAGAGUUUGGCAGAGGGGGGUAGAAUUCCACGUGUAGCAGUGAAAUGCGUAGAUAUGUGGAGGAACACCGAUGGCGAAGGCAGCCCCCUGGGUCAAAACUGACGCUCAUGCACGAAAGCGUGGGGAGCAAACAGGAUUAGAUACCCUGGUAGUCCACGCCCUAAACGAUGUCUACUAGUUGUCGGGUCUUAAUUGACUUGGUAACGCAGCUAACGCGUGAAGUAGACCGCCUGGGGAGUACGGUCGCAAGAUUAAAACUCAAAGGAAUUGACGGGGACCCGCACAAGCGGUGGAUGAUGUGGAUUAAUUCGAUGCAACGCGAAAAACCUUACCUACCCUUGACAUGGCUGGAAUCCUUGAGAGAUCAGGGAGUGCUCGAAAGAGAACCAGUACACAGGUGCUGCAUGGCUGUCGUCAGCUCGUGUCGUGAGAUGUUGGGUUAAGUCCCGCAACGAGCGCAACCCUUGUCAUUAGUUGCUACGAAAGGGCACUCUAAUGAGACUGCCGGUGACAAACCGGAGGAAGGUGGGGAUGACGUCAAGUCCUCAUGGCCCUUAUGGGUAGGGCUUCACACGUCAUACAAUGGUACAUACAGAGCGCCGCCAACCCGCGAGGGGGAGCUAAUCGCAGAAAGUGUAUCGUAGUCCGGAUUGUAGUCUGCAACUCGACUGCAUGAAGUUGGAAUCGCUAGUAAUCGCGGAUCAGCAUGUCGCGGUGAAUACGUUCCCGGGUCUUGUACACACCGCCCGUCACACCAUGGGAGCGGGUUUUACCAGAAGUAGGUAGCUUAACCGCAAGGAGGGCGCU